RNAcentral lists this ribosomal RNA (60 nucleotides) under Drummondia sinensis. RNAcentral describes it as "partial 26S ribosomal RNA". Lineage: Eukaryota; Viridiplantae; Streptophyta; Bryopsida; Scouleriales; Drummondiaceae. The record is from RNAcentral.
CAGACCUCUGAUCAGAGAAGACGACCCGCUGAGUUUAAGCAUAUCAAUAGGCCGGAGGAA